CCGACCGACGGCAUUCCGCUCAGACCCGUCCACUCACAUGGUAUGUCUAUCGCAUUAUCUCAUUCCUAAUCAGCUUAUGCAUCUACUUCCUUUUCAUGUGAAAGUUGUUGUUGUUGUUUUUACAACAUUUGGGGUUCUUAUUCGGGCUAAGCAUGCGGGUCAAUCUAGCUAGGGUUCUUAUUACUAGUUAAUAUCCUUCAACUUAUUGUAAGUACCCGAAUGUUUAAUCAUUAUGGCACCAAUAUUCAAAAUUAUCGUUGUCUCGUACUGUAUCUACUUUUAGCAAGUCAUAAUCUUUAUGCAAGUUAGAGAACAUUAGUGAAGCCAUGGAAAGACUAACAUGUGUCAAAAUGAAGAGUUUUCUAACCAUAUACCUUGUUUUCUAGGUCAUCUCAUAGAUUUCCCUGUGUUCUCAGAUAUCAGAGGUCAUGUUCGCUGUCUAAACCAUCAAGAAGACCCGAUAGACUGUGACAGUAACACUGAAAGUGAACAAAAAGAUGCAGAUCUGGCCCACUACAGAUGUAGAGGACAUUGUUAUCACGAGCUCUACAACUAUGGUUAGAAUAUGUUUACUUGCUAUAACAAUGCAUACAUAAUGUAAAUUGCCUGCAGUCUAAUGUCUUCGACUACAUUAUGGUAGGAAAAUUGUCAUCAUCAACUUGAAGUAGUGACUAAGGGUAUACAUAUGGUACAUAAAGAGUUCGAAAAACUCAUUUAUCUAACUUCAGAUGCAACCCCAAGCUCAAGUACAUCGAACAGAAAGCGGGUUCAGCCGGUGAGUAGCUCAACUUUUUUUCUGUAAACACUUCCUUAAUUAGUAACCAUGUCUCUCUUCACCCAACCACUUUAUACUCUGGUAGAUGCAUGUACAAUUUGGAAUUAUUGUAUAUGUUGUAACCUCUAUAAAUUUUGUCUAUAGGGGAACUUAGGAUUCUCAAAUGAUGACAAUACAACAAGUGUUUGGCCCUAGAAAAAAUAAUCUGAUGUUGUCAUCAAUGCCCUAGACGUGCAGCAAGAACAACCAGAAGACGUGCAACACACCUGGUUAACAAGUACGACAAAGUAGAUGAUAUGAAGAAGGCCCUGGCAUGGCAACAACUGCAAUCUGAAGCUGUUGCCAAGGCACUGGAAGAGCGUGAGCUAGAACAUGUAUUUGCGAAUCAUCUCGUGCUAGAUAUGCAACAUUGCCAAGAAUCUAUGAAGAUUACCCUUGCAUAACACAAAAAAGUUCUAGAAGGUGUCAAGAAGGCCCUACCAGAGUAACAGGCUCAAAUUGAAUGUCUAAAAUUGGGCUUGUCAUAUCUGCAUUACCAUUUUGAAUCAAUGAACACUGCCCUUGUAUAGCAAACAAGAAGAACCUGACCCAUCCUAUGAUAUGUGAGCAAUGCAACUAAGUCAUAUGUGUCUAAUUUCUAUUCUACAGCUAUGGCCCAUGGUUGUAAUGUUUUAUACAGUCUAUUUGACAAUUGUGAAGGUUGCGGUAUAUUAAAAGUAGUGACUACUGAACUUGUAUUGAAAUUCAAAUUUUGCAUGAAUUUAUAUUAAAUUUAUUUUAAAAAUUCAACAUUAUAUUAAAGGUGACCCCCAAUUGCAAUAUAAUACAAAUUGAGCGCGCCUAAAUAAUGUGACGGUCAUGAAUGGCGUCACAAGUGUAUGGUCCCACGUGUAAGAAGCCACGUCACCCAUGUAUGGACCUACCUGCCAGCAUCCACGUCAGCACAACAAUGGGCCCACAUGUCAGAACCGUUGACCGGUUAGAUGACACAUCAUCACCAAAAAAA
This 1781-nucleotide long non-coding RNA is filed under the name Triticum aestivum (bread wheat). RNAcentral describes it as "long non-coding RNA (TAES_LNC003292)". The record is from RNAcentral. Lineage: Eukaryota; Viridiplantae; Streptophyta; Magnoliopsida; Poales; Poaceae.